This 467-nucleotide ribosomal RNA is filed under the name uncultured bacterium. RNAcentral describes it as "partial 16S ribosomal RNA". It matches the Rfam family "Bacterial small subunit ribosomal RNA", at positions 28 to 507 of the family's 1533-position model. The record is from RNAcentral.
GACGAACGCUGGCGGCGUGCUUAACACAUGCAAGUCGAACGGAAAGGCCUCUUUCGGGGGGUACUCGAGUGGCGAACGGGUGAGUAACACGUGAGUAACCUGCCCUUGACUUUGGGUUAACUUCAGGAAACUGGGGCUAAUACCGGAUAGGAGCUCCUGCUGCAUGGCGGGGGUUGGAAAGUUUCGGCGGUUGGGGAUGGACUCGCGGCGUAUCAGCUUGUUGUUGGGGUAGUGGUUUACCAAGGCCUUAGCGGGUAGCCGGCCUGGGGGAGUGAGCAGCCGCCUUGAGACCUACAGGAGGCCGCGGUAGCUACGGGGCGCAGAAGUGGGGAAUACUGCACGAUCGGUGGAGGGCUGAUGCAGCAACGCCGUGUGCCGGAAAACGCCGUUAUGGUUGUAAAACGCAUGCGCUCGUAACGAAGCAUGGUGUGACGGUAGUGAAUAAAAAAGCACCGGCUAACUACGUG